UCACUCGCAGCUGAAAGAUGU
Molecule: non-coding RNA, 21 nt
Filed under: Caenorhabditis elegans
Lineage: Eukaryota; Metazoa; Nematoda; Chromadorea; Rhabditida; Rhabditidae
Source: RNAcentral